Molecule: ribosomal RNA, 497 nt
Filed under: uncultured bacterium
Lineage: Bacteria
Description: partial 16S ribosomal RNA
Rfam family: Bacterial small subunit ribosomal RNA
Source: RNAcentral
GAUGAACGCUGGCGGCGUGCCUAAUACAUGCAAGUCGAGCGAACAGAUAAGGAUCUUGCUCCUUUGACGUUAGCGGCGGACGGGUGAGUAACACGUGGGUAACCUACCCAUAAGACAGGGAUAACUUCGGGAAACCGGAGCUAAUACCGGAUAACAUUUGGAACCGCAUGGUUCUAAAGCGAAAGAUGGGUUUGCUAUCACUUAUAGAUGGACCCGCGCCGUAUUAGCUAGUUGGUAAGGUAACGGCUUGCCAAGGCGACGGUACGUAGCCGACCUGAGAGAUGGAUCGGCCACGCUGGGACUGAGAGACGGUCCAGACUGCUACGGGGGGACGGCGUAGGGAAUCUUCCGAGAUGGGAGAGAGCCUGACGGAGCAACGCGGCGUGGGUGGUGGAGGGUUUCGGCUCGUAAAACUCUGUUAUUAGGGAAGAACAAAUGUGUAAGUAGCUGUACACGUCUUGACGGUACCUGAUCAGAAAGCCACGGCUAACUACGUG